This 229-nucleotide unclassified non-coding RNA is filed under the name Hevea brasiliensis (rubber tree). Lineage: Eukaryota; Viridiplantae; Streptophyta; Magnoliopsida; Malpighiales; Euphorbiaceae. The record is from RNAcentral.
AAAUAUUCUGGUCAUCUAUAUAUGUAAGCUUAAUUUUAAUAACAUAGAAUAAAUUCCUGUAGUGUACAAUUCGAUCAGACAUAUAAUGAUCUACUUUUUGGUGCCAUAUUUUGUAUUUGGCUUGUUUGUAUUUUGUUUGUUUUAAGUUGUUCCUUAAGUCUCUCAGCAACUUAUUUUCCUCUUUGGCUUGUUUGCAAACAUUUUUUAUUAAGCUUAUCAUUGUCGUGGA